Molecule: long non-coding RNA, 8886 nt
Organism: Hemicordylus capensis (graceful crag lizard)
Lineage: Eukaryota; Metazoa; Chordata; Lepidosauria; Squamata; Cordylidae
Exons: 2
Source: RefSeq, a predicted model, not a curated record
AGGCCUCCCUGAAGCCUGAACUCAAGUGCCGCGGCAGGCAGCCAUCAAGGAAGGAAGGAGGCAGGCAGAGUGGCCAUCGCCGGCUGCCUUUUACCCACCACAGUUCUCUGCAGACCCUCUGCCUAGCACAGACCAGCCUUUGCCUGCUUAGUAAUGGAGAUGAUGUCACUAUCUAUACGUUGACAGGGGGUACCACUGCAGCAUGGAACCUUCUCCCUGAGAGACACAGAAUGGUGGAUGACCCCAACAUGGUGCAGGGCCCAUCUGUGGGACUGGACAGGGAUUCUGAAGAAGAGCAGCAUGCUUAAUUGAUGGUAUAGUCACUUCAUCAUUCUUCCCUUUACACCAUUGACACCCACUGUGGCUUCAUUCUGCUUUGUGGCUCUGAGGUCAUAAUAGAGCCGGGUGCAGCUGGCCUGCAACCCUUAAAUACUAACAAAGUGGCUGCAUGGCAGUGGUCAUGGCAUCAGGGGCUCUUAUGAUUGCUGGACUGCAGAGGCUUGUCAAUUUUUUCCCCCUGGCAAAGCUCCUGGGUCCAGCUGCACAAUAAGCUGAAAUUCAACAGGUUACUCUUUUCCUAUCACAGCAUAUUCAAAAUGAGGAAAGUGGCACCUCUUGAAUUUUUGCCUGUGGGACAACUCUUAAAAACACAGAUGGUUGACGGUUAAAAACAUAAGAAAGGCACUGCUGGAUCAUGCCCUAGGCAUGUCUAGUCCAACAUCCUGUUUCACACAGUGGCCCACCAGAUGCUGCUGGAAGCCCACCGGCAGGAGUUGAGGGCAUGCCCUCUCUCCUGCUACUCCCCUGCAACUGGUACUCAGAGGCAUCCUACCUUUGAGGCUGGAGGUGGCCUAUAGCCCUCCAACUAGUAGACAUUGAUAGACCUCUCCUCCAUGAAGUUAUCCAAAGCCCUCUUAAAGCCAUCCAGGUUGUUGGCUGUCACCACAUCUUGUGGCAGAGAAUUCCACAAGUUGAUUAUCUAUUGUGUGAAAAAGUACUUCCUUUUGUUGGUCCUAAAUUUCUUGGCAAUCAUUUUCAUGGGAUGACCCCUGGUUCUAGUGUUAUGUGAGAGGGAGAAGGUGGCAACCAUAGAUCUCAGGAUUAGUAGUACUAAGACAUGGGUUACAACCUUGACAAGCAGUCUUCUGCUAAUAAUCAGCCAGCCAGCCAACUAUACACCUACACAAUCAAGUCAAGGUAAGGAUCAGCCUUCAAUGCUCACUCAUUGUCCAAGUGCUGCAGUGACAGCUCAUGAGCUUUGCAUGCCUCUGAGGCAGCAUGUCAAACACGCCCCCAACCCCAUUGCACACACCCUCCUCCCCUUCUUUCUUUUUAAAAAGUGGGGUCAGGAAUACAUCUUGCUGCCUUGCUGGUACUUCAAUAGUCUGCUGCUUGAGGCAACCACAUCACUUUGCCUCAGAGAAGGGCUGUCCCUGCAAUGCUGUUGACUAAACUGGUCAGCAUAUGCAGGGAUGUUCUUAAUAGUAUGCAGGGUGUGUGUGUGUGUGUGUGUGUGUGUGUGUGUGUGUCUGUGUGUGUGUGUGUGUGCGUUUUUAAUGCAGUGUGCUUGAGAUAGCUGAAUAAGGGCAGCUGAUAAUUUUAAAAAUCUAUUAAUUUUUUAAAAUGCAGGUGUUUUUGUUUGCUUUUUUGGGAGAACCAAGAUAUAUUGGCUCAAAAACACUCCGUUUGCAUAAAGUAAUAUGCUGAAACAGAAUUGACACUGGAAGCAGAAGCAAGGUCACCCAGUUGCUUGUCGAUCUUCUUUAACAAGUCAUAUCAACUUUUCCAUACAUCAGUUGAAUUGUUGCUGAUGUAGGUGAGCUAGGUUUUGAUUUUGGCAUGUCACCAAUGCUGUCUCAUCUCAACUGAAAUCCUUGAACUAACAUUCUCUUUCUCAGGUCUCCGAUGCUGGCUGCAAACCUUUAAAACCACUUACUCAAGAGUAAUCCCAUAGAUGGAAAUGGAACUUUUCCAAUAUACAUGGACUGAGAUUUACAGCCUAAAACAGUCUGUGUCUGCUCUCUCUUCUCUUACUGAGUUUUGCUUUACCAAAGAAUUUUAUCACUACAUGCUUCUCAAAUCUCAUGCCUAUGGCAGUCAUUAGUAUUCUUCCUUCACUGGUGCCGUAUCUGAGAUCUGAGGCACACAAAAGAGCAAGCAGAAACCAAAUAAGAGAAUCUGAAAAUGGCAAAACUCCAUCUACACACACACAUUUAUUUAUUUAUUUAGCAUACAUAUUUUAAAUGUAUGAUUUAAUCAAUCUCCUGCAGGGUGUUUCACACCUCAGUCAGACAUUCUUUCCCAGAGUGCUUUUGGCCACAGAGUCAUUAUUUUACAACACCUGCACAGAACACAGUAAUUUAAGGGCAAGGUUAUAAGCUGCACUGCUUGAAACUAUAAACUCAAGGUACUCAGUGUGGAAGUAACUUGCCUAGGGAGAAAAAGGUUGCUGGUUCGAAUCCCCACUGAAACACCUAUAUCAGGCAGCAGUGAUAUAGGAAGAUGCUGAAAGGCAUCAUCUCAUACUGCGCGGAAGAUGGCAAUGGUAAAACCCUCUUGUAUUCUACCAAAGAAAACCACAUGGCUCCGUGGACGCCAGGAGUCGACACCGACACGACGGCACAACUUUACUUUACCUCUUCUUUACAAAAAAGGGAUGCUGAGUGAUUUUUUAAAAAUCUGCCUACAUUCAAGAAAGUAUUCCUGCAGUCACCAAUCUGCUGAUUCAUAGAAUGAUGCAACUAAAGUGAAGUUGGUUUGAAGCAUGUGCUUCACUCUCCCACUGAAAUCAGCCCAAAACCCCCAGCCUUACUUACUCUAGGGUAAGUAAGAAGGUAAGUCAUUCAAUAUUCAAUAUUGUUGGGACCACUGGUCAUAACAUAACAUAAAAGAAAAAGCACAACAUAUCAAGAAGUUUCAUCGGUAAGGUUAAGCCAAAACUGCUACAAUUUAGAACAUAUAAAUUUCUUUCUGAGUUUAAAAAAAAGCCAGGCAAAGGUGGCAGCUUGACAACUGACAGAUGGAAUCACAUCCACAAGUAGAUAAGUCAAACAUUCAACAUCCGAACCCUUACGUUUAUCUAUAAUCUGUCUCAGUGUUUCCCCACUGAUCACAUCAUAGAUAAGGCAGUAUAAGGCGUAGUAGAAGAUAUCCUCCACUUGACCAGCGCCACAAGGACAAAGGCACUGUUCCACUGGGAGUUUGCAGAAUCUCCCCUUAAGAUAUGCUGUGGGAAUACUUUGGAAGCAUAAAUUGUGAAAGGCUUCCACAGUAGUGCACUGGUAAUAUUAACCAAAUACACUGAGAGACUUCUAUAUUUCUUAUAAGGGCAGUACCAAGAUUAAAACUUUGAAGACUGUACCACAGCAGCAUUUCUACUGGCUUCCUGUUCUAGGAGCCAAUCUCUAAUAUUCCCUCACCGGAGGCAAGGAUAUGAGACGAAUGUUUAGUCCAUUGAUUCCCACCCAUAUAAUGGAAAUAAAAUUUGGCUAGGUAAUGUUCUGGGAAACUAACUUAAAGUACCUUAGCAAUGCUAGAUGGACUCUGAUGGAGAUUGAAGGUAGCCGUACCUCCAUUCUUAGAUAAGCAGCAGGAGUGCCCUGGGAAAAUCCCAAAAUCUUCCUUAGGAAAUUGUUCUGGACUAUUUCCAACUGGGCAAUAGCCUUCACAUCCCACCUCCAGGGCAUCAUACAACAUCGUCAUGCAUCAUACAACAUCCGCAAUAUCACCUUACCCUGAAAUAUUUUAAGUGCCGGGGCUAUUAACUGCCCUCCUUUAGAGUAGAAAAAUUUCCCUAGAUAAAUCAAGCUGUGUUUACAGGCUGCAAUUACCUCUGGAGUCAUCCUAUGUUCAUGUACAAAUUGCAUUUUUUCCAUUUAAACCCGGAUCCUGAAUAAGUGUACUGCUCAGAGGCAGUGUUCCUUGCUGAUAUAUAAUGUAUUCCUGGUCAGGAACUGAAAAGAGGUUGCAGAGUUUUGUCCAUCGAGCUGCAGAAUUUUCAACAUAUUUUUGUUAAAUUUGAUUUUACCUAUUUUAUAUUGAGAAACAUAAUGAAUUCCAGAUUGUAGACCAUCCCUCACCCUAUAGGGGGCACCCCAACACCAAGCUGCAAAAAACCCCACCUUUAAUUAGUAAGUAUUCAUAUUCAUUGUGAUACUGCUUGACUAUUCACACUAACAUAAUGCCACUUCUUAGAGUCACCUCUAACAUUGCUAAUUAAUUAAUUAGCAACUCCUCAAUUAUGCAGCUUGAAGGCUUGCAUGUUAUACUGUGAACAUUGUUUGGUCCAGUAGUGUAUUGCUGCAGGGACGGGUAGGGACACAGUCCAGGAACGGUUUUUUUGCCCUAACCUCCAGGGUCUCAGCAGGGACACAAAGCCUUUGGCUUUCUACAUGGAAAUAAUGUGCUGCUCUUGCUAUCCCAGGUGUUUAUUAUCUUAGGUAGCUUUUUAACUUUUUAGAAUAUCUCUGUAAGUUGGUUCUCUCUUAGUAAAUUUUUUUAGCAGUAACAGAGGUGGCUGUACACAUUAUUGGAUUCUGGAGCAUUUGCACCAGUACUAUCAAGCUUAUGGAACAUUUCUAAGAUUCUUCUCCACUUGACAAAGACCAAGAUCAAAACAGAAGUCACUGGGUCACUGUUGUGGAGAAUUGUGGAUUUGUUUGAAAUAGACUGUAUUACUUUGCAUACAAUGGACUUCACUAUUUCUCCAUCACAAUACAUUUAGCGUUAUCAAUGUGAUUUCCAAUUGUCAUCAUUGGUUGAACGUCUGUUCUAUCUCAGGUUGAGAGUGUCUCUGAUUAUAUACCAUACUAAUUUGUUAUAUACUCUUUGUUACAUGGCUUGUACAUAACAUGGAGGGGAUCUUACUGUUUCUUAUAUGCUUGAUAAUAAGAGAUCCCAAGAUAUAGGGACAUAGGAAGCUGCCAUAUACUGAGUCAAACCAUAGGUCCAUCUAGCUUAGUAUUGUCCAUACAGACUGGCAGAGGCUUCUCCAAGGUUGGAGGCAAGAAUCUCUCUCAGCCCUAUUUUGGAGAUGCCAGGGAGGGAACUUGGAACCUAGAUGCUCUUCCCAGAGCAGCCCCAUCCCUUAAGGGGAAUAUCACAGUGCUCACAUAUCAAGUCUCCCAUUCAAAGGCAACCGAGGCAGACCCUGCUUACCUAAGGGGACAAGUCAUGCUUGCUACCACAAGACCAGCUCUCCUCUCCACAUGAUUUAUAAGAGACAUUAUUUAUAUUUAGUCCUAAUAAAAGCAUUAUCUGACUGACAUUGUGAAUACGUCUGCUCAGUUAUUUUAGAUUCCACUCAGGUUGAACCAGGAAGGCCCCACUCUGAAUGAAGGUACUCACCUUGAUACUGCUGCCCGGAACAAAACUCAUUCCACAUACAGAUGAAGAAAGUGUAUGUAUGUAUUUAUUUAAAAUAUUUAUAUCCCACCCCUCCAGUGCGCUACUGCUCGGGGUGGCUCACAACAAUAAGAUAGACACAAGAUACAAGAAAAGUAAUAAAAUUAACUAAAUUAAAAAAGGUGUCAGAUUAAAAACCACAGUCAUUAUUAGGUUCAAACUAAAGGUUAUUUUAAAAGCUAAAAAUGGAAAAUUAUAAAAAGCUAAAGAACCUACCAAAUAGAACCAAAAAAAUGGAGCAUUAAAAAGCCUCCUUUAAAAAGUGUGUUUUAAGAUGUUUCUUAAAAAUUAGAGAGAACACAGCUUGAGAGAAGAAGUAUAGUUGAAAAUUCAGAGGUGCAGGCACUCACCAUGCCAGCCCACAGCCACACCCACCCCAGCAGCCCCAUCCUAUAACCACACCCACCCCAGCAGCCCCAUCCUAUAACCACACCCACCUCAGCAGCCCCACCCCCAAUGAUUGCUUCAUAUUAUUUGUAUUUUAAAAUGCAGUUUCAUUGUUUUCUGUGCAGACAUGCAAGUUAUGAAAAGAAACCCUUUAAAAAGAAACCUGUCCAGAGCAUGCUGGACUAUAUUAUCACCACCAAUCAGGGGCCAGCAGAGAGCAGGGGGAAAUUUCCUCUAACUACCUUGUGCAAAGAGAAUGUCUUCUGUUCACACAAGAACUAGUCUGGAUGCUGCUCACUAGAUCCCAAUAUACACUUCAUACACUUAUAAAGGAAGGUUUGGAGUUCUGUUGACCUUUGUGGAAUAUCAUGUGUUUAAGCAAAUGAUAUGAAAGUAAAAUGCAUUAAAAGCCACUUGUUAGUAAGUGAUAAUGGCACCAUUGACGCAUGUCACCACAUUGCACUUCUGCUCCUGAGCGGAGCCCAUUUUCAACGUGUAUACAUUGGGUAAAUACAGCUCUAACAUUUUUUCCUGGCCCUCCCUGUUGUGAAAGAAAACAAAGACCUGUAGCAAUGUUUUCCUUCAAAGGCCAAGGGAUAUAGUGGGAAAGAUAGAUUUUGAUCUCAAAGGUCAACAAUCUUUCUGGCUGUGAAAAAUUGCUUGGAAAAGUUUAAAAGAAAUUUAGUUGUAGUAACAAAGUCAGCAUUUAUUCAGCAGCUGAAUACUUUAUUUAUUUUGAGUAAAUGUACUCUGUUGAUACUUUUCUGCUUAGGUUUGCAUCUUAGACCUAGUUCUCACAGAUGAGGUGGUAAGCCAUCUCUUGGCUGAACCACUUCAUACCACAGGUGGGAACUCAGGUAUUUUUUUAAAAACAAGGCAGUCUUCUAUCCCUUGUGGCUUUACUCCGUAAGACAUCUAGUGUGCAAUUACCUUUCCCACUAGUACCUACAAAUUAGAGGAGUUACAUUUAAAAGAAAAUGUGUACAACUCUAAUUUGACCUGACAACUAAUCUCCUUUGAAAUCAUAUAGUACGUUCCAACGAUGGCCAAAAUGAGCUUUUGUUUAGCUUUGAUAACUGCCUAAUGGAAAUGGACACAACAGAUUUUUACAUCCAAGUUAAAGUGCAAAACUGAAGUAAACAUUUAAAUAAUGGAACCUCAGCAGCUUCAAAUAUUCAACCACCUAGAGCCUUUGGAGUCAGGUAGUAUAAACCAAAUAAAUAAUCAAUCAAAUAAAUAAAUAAUAUGUAACAGAAUAAAUCCUACAGUAAUCACAAGCUCUACAAUAUUUUUUGAAAGAUUAUGUAUAAAUCGUAUCACACACAAAUAUACAUUUGCAACAAAUAUUUACCAAUGCUAGUGGACUGUGUCGGUAAAACAACAUCAUGAGGAACUUUUAACAUAUUUGGUGAAAAUAUGAUUUGAUACAGAACUACCAGGGAAACAUUUUUGUCUCUUUCAUUGCUCUUGGGAUCCGCCUUAGAUACUGUGUCAGACCAUUGGUCCAUCUAGCUCAGAACUGUCUACACUGACUGGCAAGGUUUCAGGUAGGAGUCUCUUCCGGCCCUACCUGAAGAUGCCAGGGAUUGAACCUGGGACCUUCUGCAUGCAAAGUGGAUGCUUUGCCAUUAAGCUAGGGUCUCAUCCCAGCCUAUGCUUGUGAUGUGUGGGAAUGGCCUUUUGAAUUGGUCCAGCCGGGCUCUUAGGUUCUUAAUUGGUCUCUACUGUACUUGUAUUAGGAUGUUUUAAUGCACUUGUUAAGACUGAACACAAACAACUAGUAUCUAAUUUACUGGUUGGCUCUAGCACAAUGGCAAGAUAGCAACUCAUCACAUCCCGGUGAGGAAAAGCAAUUUUGUCACGUGGGGACAUGUUCACAGGAUCAUUUUGCCAUGAUAAUAUUUAGCGAAGAAGACACUUAAUGGUAACUCUUCAUUCUCAAACAUGGGCAUGUGAAUAAAUGCAUUUUAGAGCUGGUCUUGUGGUAGCAAGCAUGACUUGUCCCCUUAGCUAAGCAGGGUCCACCUUGGUUGCACAUGAAUGGGAGACUAGAAGUGUGAGCACUCUAAGAUAUUCCCCUCAGGGGAUGGAUCCGCUCUGGGAGGAGCAGAAGGUUCCAAGUUCCCUCCCUGGCUUCUCCAAGAUAGGGCUGAGAGAGAUUCCUGCCUGCAACCUUGGAGAAGCUGCUGCCAGUCUGUGAAGAUAAUACUGAGCUAGAUAGACCAAUGAUCUGACUCAGUAUAUGCAGCUUCCUAUAUUCCUAUGCAUGAUCUACAUUAUAUGUGAUCUGGUCUUUAGGCACUAUUUACCAUAUAGCUGACAUCCUGGAUUAUUAAAAGUUUCUACCCACUGACGAUAAACCAAUAUGAUAAGCAGUGAUGUAGAGAUGGAUUGUGUUCAGUGAUAAAGGGCUUUCAUUGUGUCCAGGGAUCUGUAAUAUUCUGAAAUAAAGGCAACCUGUUUUAAACAAUGGAAUCUGGCAUCCCCAUUUCAAAGACUUGUUCCAUCAAAUGAGUAUGCUGGUCUGUGACCGUAAUAAAGACUGAUUGAUCCAUCAAACGAGCUCCCAAGAUGAAGUUAUGGUAGUGGGAGAAUACUGAAUAGAAUUUUUAAGAUCAGCUUGUGAAGCUUGUGCAAAAAGCUCUUCCUCAGAAAACGCUUUGUGACCAAUUCCAUGGCACUUUUGCUGUUAUACAAGGCCAGCUGUUGCACUUGUUUGCCUUCUCCCUUAGUAUCCUCACACAAAAGCAAACAAGGGGGGGGAACCUCUCUCAGUUACUACUGCCAAUCCCUGUCGCUUUGUUUUUGUGUGUGUGUUUUUGAAAUGGUGGCUGAAGAACACUGGAUACAUAAAGGAAAAAUACGGCUACAUAUUUUUCACAGUAUAUUUUUUCACAGUAUAUUUUGUAUAUAAUGGCUGCAUGUAAGCAUUUGUAACUACUGUAGUUUUAAAUUGUAAAACGUUUUUACCUAAUACAGCUUUUGUGUUUGCAAUUGAAGAAGGUUUAUUUGUUUGUUUUAACCCCAUUAAUCUCCAUGCUUUUGUAAUUGUUCUUGCAAUAAUUAAUGCAAUAAUUAUAGCAUAAUUAUAAUAUA